Molecule: ribosomal RNA, 105 nt
Filed under: uncultured bacterium
Lineage: Bacteria
Description: partial 16S ribosomal RNA
Rfam family: Bacterial small subunit ribosomal RNA
Source: RNAcentral
CGUUCCCGGGCCUUGUACACACUGCCCGUCAAGCCAUGGAAGCUGGGGGUGCCUGAAGUCGGUGACCGCAAGGAGCUGCCUAGGGUAAAACUAGUAACUAGGGCU